Long non-coding RNA from Myotis davidii, 235 nucleotides. RefSeq lists it as uncharacterized. The record is from RefSeq and is a predicted model, not a curated record. The transcript has 2 exons. NCBI's taxonomy places the organism in Eukaryota, Metazoa, Chordata, Mammalia, Chiroptera, Vespertilionidae.
GACCCUCUUCCUGUGUCCCUACAAAAGGCCCGGACAAUGCGGUCCCAGCCCUGCUGUGGGACACGGGCGGGGCCCCACCUUCCUCCUUCCUGCAGGGAUAUCCUUUCCUAUAGAAGAGAUGUAUCCGCCACCACCAGAAGUUGGGGACAUUUCCGCUCACCCCCGAAACGAAUGUGUUCUGCGUUUACAACAAAUGACAUCUUUCAAAGUUGGCCAUAAAUCAAAGUUAAGUGAA